Molecule: ribosomal RNA, 745 nt
Filed under: uncultured bacterium
Lineage: Bacteria
Description: bacterial SSU rRNA
Rfam family: Bacterial small subunit ribosomal RNA
Source: RNAcentral
ACGCUGGCGGCAGGCCUAACACAUGCAAGUCGAGCGGUAGAGAGAAGCUUGCUUCUCUUGAGAGCGGCGGACGGGUGAGUAAUGCCUAGGAAUCUGCCUGGUAGUGGGGGAUAACGUUCGGAAACGGACGCUAAUACCGCAUACGUCCUACGGGAGGAAGCAGGGGACCUUCGGGCCUUGCGCUAUCAGAUGAGCCUAGGUCGGAUUAGCUAGUUGGUGAGGUAAUGGCUCACCAAGGCGACGAUCCGUAACUGGUCUGAGAGGAUGAUCAGUCACACUGGAACUGAGACACGGUCCAGACUCCUACGGGAGGCAGCAGUGGGGAAUAUUGGACAAUGGGCGAAAGCCUGAUCCAGCCAUGCCGCGUGUGUGAAGAAGGUCUUCGGAUUGUAAAGCACUUUAAGUUGGGAGGAAGGGUUGUAGAUUAAUACUCUGCAAUUUUGACGUUACCGACAGAAUAAGCACCGGCUAACUCUGUGCCAGCAGCCGCGGUAAUACAGAGGGUGCAAGCGUUAAUCGGAAUUACUGGGCGUAAAGCGCGCGUAGGUGGUUUGUUAAGUUGGAUGUGAAAUCCCCGGGCUCAACCUGGGAACUGCAUUCAAAACUGACUGACUAGAGUAUGGUAGAGGGUGGUGGAAUUUCCUGUGUAGCGGUGAAAUGCGUAGAUAUAGGAAGGAACACCAGUGGCGAAGGCGACCACCUGGACUAAUACUGACACUGAGGUGCGAAAGCGUGGGGAGCAAAC